This 253-nucleotide ribosomal RNA is filed under the name Clostridioides difficile. Its description in RNAcentral is "partial 23S ribosomal RNA". It matches the Rfam family "Bacterial large subunit ribosomal RNA", at positions 1562 to 1827 of the family's 2925-position model. The record is from RNAcentral. Lineage: Bacteria; Bacillati; Bacillota; Clostridia; Peptostreptococcales; Peptostreptococcaceae.
UGUGAUGGGGAGCGAAAUUUAGUAGCGAAGUAGCUGAUUUCACACUGUCAAGAAAAGUCUCUAUCGAGGUUAAAGGUACCCGUACCGCAAACCGACACAGGGGGGUGAGGAGAGUAUCCUAAGGCCAGCGAGAGAACUGUUGUUAAGGAACUCGGCAAAAUGACCCCGUAACUUAGGGAUAAGGGGUGCCACCAUCAGGUGGCCGCAGAGAAUAGGCCCAAGCGACUGUUUACCAAAAACAUAGGUUUCUGCU